GAAAUUCUUUUUAAACUAUUCCCUG
RNAcentral lists this transfer RNA (25 nucleotides) under Vulpes vulpes (red fox). RNAcentral's name for it is "partial tRNA-Pro". RNAcentral also lists the same sequence under 3 other names. The record is from RNAcentral. Lineage: Eukaryota; Metazoa; Chordata; Mammalia; Carnivora; Canidae.